This is a long non-coding RNA of Oryza sativa Japonica Group (Japanese rice), 916 nucleotides long. RefSeq lists it as uncharacterized. The record is from RefSeq and is a predicted model, not a curated record. Lineage: Eukaryota; Viridiplantae; Streptophyta; Magnoliopsida; Poales; Poaceae.
UCUUUCUAUAAAGUUAAUACCCAAAGCUGAAACCUCAACGUCCCACGUCAUUACUAAUUCUCAGCCGUUCGAUCGGUGGAUGAUAUCGCAUAUGAACCGUUGGAUGAGAAGGUCCCCGGGUGAAGCCCAGCCCAUCACGGCCCAUGUCCUCUCUCUCCAAGGUUUCUUCACCCUCCACCGCAUCACAACAUCCGCCGCCACCACAAGCGCUCGCUUCUCCUCCCCCGUCCCCGCGCGCCAGCCGCCGUGCUCGGCGGACGCGGACGAGCGCGGCAACGACGGCAGCGGACGCGGACGAGGGAUGCGACAGCGGUCGAGGGCGCGGUGGACGCGGACGAGGGCGGCGACGGUCGCGGACGAGGGCGGUGGCAGCGGUCGAGGGCGGCGGCGGCGGCGACGACGGCGGACGCGAACGAUGGCGGCUGCGUCGGUCACGGCGAACGCGGACGAGGGCGGCAGCGGCGGAGGUCGUGGACGAGGACGGCAGCGGUUGAGGGCGGCGGCAGUGGUCGAUGGCGUGGUGGACGCGGACGAGGGCGGCGGCGGCGACGACGGCGGCGGAAGCGGACACGGACGAAGGCGGGAGCAUCUGUCAUGGCGAACGCAGACGAGGGCGGCAAGCCGACAACGGCGGUCGUGGCAUAUGAUGUGAUAAUAUGUUCUGAGAUUUAUUUGUUUUGCAGCUCUGAUGUGUAGAUGAGUACUCUCCGUCUCUCCAUCGUAUAUCGAGAAUGCCUAUUGCCUGUGAUGCCUUCUAUGUUUCGGUUCUGAGCAGCAGUUGAGCAAAUAAGGAGGCAAGAUUCUAAGGAUUCAAACUUAUUGUGUUUAGUUAAGCAACACAACAAGGUCACCACUUAAAUCUUUUUUUGUGUAUGUAUGGAUAUAUUCCCUUUAUUCAUUGAUUUGCACUACUUUA